Molecule: ribosomal RNA, 460 nt
Filed under: uncultured bacterium
Lineage: Bacteria
Description: partial 16S ribosomal RNA
Rfam family: Bacterial small subunit ribosomal RNA
Source: RNAcentral
CCUACGGGUGGCAGCAGUGAGGAAUAUUGGUCAAUGGACGAGAGUCUGAACCAGCCAAGUAGCGUGAAGGAUGACUGCCCUAUGGGUUGUAAACUUCUUUUAUAUGGGAAUAAAAUGUUCCACGUGUGGGAUUUUGUAUGUACCAUAUGAAUAAGGAUCGGCUAACUCCGUGCCAGCAGCCGCGGUAAUACGGAGGAUCCGAGCGUGAUCCGGAUUUAUUGGGGUUAAAGGGAGGGGAGGUGGAUUGUUAAGGCAGUUGUGAAAGUUUGCGGCUCAACCGGAAAAGUGCAGGUGAAACUGGCAGUCUUGAGUACAGUAGAGGUGGGCGGAAUGCGUGGUGUAGCGGUGAAAUGCUUAGAUAUCACGAAGAACUCCGAUUGCGAAGGCAGUUCACUGGACUGCAACUGACACUGAGGCUCGAAAGUGUGGGUAUCAAACAGGAUUAGAUACCCGUGUAGUC